GGAGAGGUGUCAGAGUGGUCGAAUGAGCACGCCUGGAAAGUGUGUAUACGGGAUGACCGUAUCGAGGGUUCGAAUCCCUCCCUCUCCG
This 88-nucleotide transfer RNA is filed under the name Parapedobacter composti. RNAcentral describes it as "Parapedobacter sp. 4M40 tRNA". It matches the Rfam family "tRNA". Rfam says of the family: Transfer RNA (tRNA) molecules are approximately 80 nucleotides in length. Their secondary structure includes four short double-helical elements and three loops (D, anti-codon, and T loops). The record is from Rfam by way of RNAcentral. Lineage: Bacteria; Pseudomonadati; Bacteroidota; Sphingobacteriia; Sphingobacteriales; Sphingobacteriaceae.